UUCCGGUUGAUCCUGCCGGACCCCACUGCUAUCGGGAUAGGACUAAGACAUGCUAGUCGUGUGCCUCAGCCAAAACGAGGCACGGCGCACAGCUCAGUAACACGUGGCUAACCUGCCCUUAGGACGUGAAUAACCCCGGGAAACUGGGGCUAAUGCUCGAUAGGUGAAGAACUCUGGAAUGAGUCUUCACUUAAAAGAGUCUGCGUUAUGCUCGUAGAUUUCGCUUAAGGAUGGGGCCGCGACCGAUCAGGUUGUUGGUGAGGUAAUGGCUCACCAAGCCUUUUACCGGUGCGGGCCGUGAGAGCGGGAGCCCGGAGAUGGGCACUGAGACAAGGGCCCAGGCCCUACGGGGCGCAGCAGUCGCGAAAACUUUGCAAUACACGAAAGUGUGACAGGGCUAUCCCGAGUGCCAUCCGCUGAGGAAGGCUUUUACCCAGUCUAGAAAGCUGGGGGAAUAAGGAGAGGGCAAGUCUGGUGUCAGCCGCCGCGGUAAUACCAGCUCUCCGAGUGGUGUGGAUGUUUAUUGGGCCUAAAGCAUCCGUAGCUGGCUAAGUUAGUCCCCUGUUAAAUCCAACGAAUUAAUCGUUGGAUCGCGGGGGAUACUGCUUGGCUAGGGGACGAGAGAGGCAGACGGUAUUUCCGGGGUAGGGGUGAAAUCCUAUAAUCCCGGGAAGACCACCAGUGGCGAAGGCGUCUCACCAGAACGGACCUGACGGCAAGGGACGAAAGCUAGGGGCACGAACCGGAUUAGAUACCCGGGUAGUCCUAGCCGUAAACGAUACUCGCUAGGUGUCGGCCACGGUGCGACCGUUGUCGGUGCCGUAGGGAAGCCGUGAAGCGAGCCACCUGGGAAGUACGGCCGCAAGGCUGAAACUUAAAGGAAUUGGCGGGGGAGCACCACAACGGGUGGAGCUUGCGGUUUAAUUGGAGUCAACGCCGGA
RNAcentral lists this ribosomal RNA (941 nucleotides) under uncultured crenarchaeote. RNAcentral describes it as "bacterial SSU rRNA". It matches the Rfam family "Archaeal small subunit ribosomal RNA", at positions 1 to 922 of the family's 1478-position model. Lineage: Archaea; Thermoproteati; Thermoproteota. The record is from RNAcentral.